RNAcentral lists this ribosomal RNA (157 nucleotides) under uncultured marine bacterium. Its description in RNAcentral is "partial small subunit ribosomal RNA". It matches the Rfam family "Bacterial small subunit ribosomal RNA", at positions 352 to 501 of the family's 1533-position model. The record is from RNAcentral.
CAGUGGGGAAUUUUGUACAAUGGGGGCAACCCUGAUCCAGCCAUKCCGCGUGAGUGAAGAAGGCCUUCGGGUUGUAAAGCUCUUUCGCUAGAGAAGAAAACUUGCUAUCUARUAAAUAGUAAGUAUGACGGUAUCUUGACAAGAAGCACCGGCUAAC